UAGUGGCAGACGGGUGAGUAAUGCAUAGGAAUCUACCUAGUAGUAUGGGAUAGCCACUGGAAAUGGUGGGUAAUACCGUAUAAUCCCCGCGGGGGAAAGAUUUAUCGCUAUUAGAUGAGCCUAUGUCGGAUUAGCUAGUUGGUGGGGUAAUGGCCUACCAAGGCAGUGAUCUGUAGCUGGUCUGAGAGGAUGAUCAGCCACACUGGAACUGAGACACGGUCCAGACUCCUACGGGAGGCAGCAGUGGGGAAUAUUGGACAAUGGGCGCAAGCCUGAUCCAGCUAUGCCGCGUGAGUGAGGAAGGCCUUAGGGUUGUAAAACUCUUUCAGUAGGGAAGAUAAUGACGGU
Molecule: ribosomal RNA, 348 nt
Filed under: Anaplasma phagocytophilum
Lineage: Bacteria; Pseudomonadati; Pseudomonadota; Alphaproteobacteria; Rickettsiales; Anaplasmataceae
Description: bacterial SSU rRNA
Rfam family: Bacterial small subunit ribosomal RNA
Source: RNAcentral